UACGGGGGGGGCAAGCGUUGUUCGGAAUUACUGGGCGUAAAGGGCUCGUAGGUGGCCAACUAAGUCAGACGUGAAAUCCCUCGGCUUAACCGGGGAACUGCGUCUGAUACUGGUUGGCUUGAGUGCAGGAGAGGAAUGCGGAAUUCCAGGUGUAGCGGUGAAAUGCGUAGAUAUCUGGAGGAACACCGGUGGCGAAGGCGGCAUUCUGGACUGUAACUGACGCUGAGGAACGAAAGCCAGGGGAGCAAACGGG
This 253-nucleotide ribosomal RNA is filed under the name uncultured bacterium. RNAcentral describes it as "partial 16S ribosomal RNA". It matches the Rfam family "Bacterial small subunit ribosomal RNA", at positions 524 to 776 of the family's 1533-position model. The record is from RNAcentral.